Molecule: transfer RNA, 146 nt
Filed under: Candidatus Aenigmatarchaeota archaeon
Lineage: Archaea; Nanobdellati; Candidatus Aenigmatarchaeota
Description: tRNA-Pro
Source: RNAcentral
GGGUCUGUGGUGUAGCUUGGUUUAGCAUCGGACCUUCGGGAGGUCCUGACCCCGGUUCAAAGCAAAUUUAGCGAGAAACGAUAAUAUAAGGAAAUGACAGAAUAAUAGUGAAAAAUUUAAAUCUUGUGAAAAUCCGGGCAGACCCA